UUUCCCAUUUCCCAUUUCCCAUUUCCCGUGUAUCUGAUAAAUCCCUAACCCAUCCCCUCCUCCAUUUUUUUCCCCAAAUCGAAAAACCACCUCCACCGAUCCACCAUUCCACCUCCGGUGUCCGGUCCUCCACGACUAUUAAAGUCCUUGCUUGUAAUAAUCUGGCUAUUGAGAGAAACAAGCUAUUGAGGCAGAAAAACAGCAGGCCCAGUCAGGUUGCUAUCACUUAGAGUGAGUUGACUUAGCAGCUGCUUUUUUCCGUAUGGGGAUGGAAACGAAGGAUGAGUUCAUGACUUUCGAGCCAGAGCAGGCCCAAGUGGGAUCUCGAGGACCGACGUUAGUAAUUAACGAGAUGGUGAUGAGGAACGUCAAGUCUUAUGCCGGUGAGCAGCGCGUCGGUCCCUUUCACAAGAUUCGCAUGGAAACUCGAUCUGGGGUUAAGCAUUUUAUUCCUGCUUGGAUCAAGUUCUCUGUUCAAGCAGCUGGUGAAAUCCCAUACAGUGGAAUAUACUAUGAUCCACCAGAAGAGAGCAGCUACAGGGAGUACCUAAAACUAAAAGCUAGAUAUGAGGAACUGCAAUGAACUCAGAGGUGUUUAGUCUGACAACCAUACCAUAGCUUUGGACUUCCAUAUUAGUUUGAUAGGCUAUUAGUCCAUUUAGAAGUGUAUACUCAACUUACUCCAUGAUUGUAAUUACUAAAAGUAUUUGAAUAAGAGCAAUUUUAUGUGCAAUCUGGUUUGGUCCUUUGAUUCAACAGGAAUCUUCGCGUUUAUUAGACUUGGGUCUAUAGAACUCCAAGAAGCUUGAGCAGCUUGAGCAUCAACUAGAGUCAUCCUUGAAACAUGUCCGCUCCACCAAGACUGGUCAAGCUAUGGCAAGUGCUCUCAAUGUUGUACAAACAUCUCAUUCGUUUGGGGAUUUAAUGCUCCUAAUGAAAGCUGCUGAACUGCAACAAGAAAGGCCCUGGAGUUAUAUGGUUGAAAUGGUCAGGAUUGAAUCUAUGAGUCCAAUUUGAAACUCUUAUUCGUCUUUCCAUAAAAAUACAUUUCUGUACCAUAUAAGCAGCUUGGAGGCGGUGGACUUUCUGGAUAAGUUUCUUUCCAUGAAUUCGGACACUAGUGGCUGUGUUAAACUUCAUGAUUUCCUUGAUGUGGAGAAGAAUGGAUCAAUUACAUUCAAGCAGUUUUUAUUCGGGAUAGCUCAUGUUAUGAAGAAACCACUACUCAUGCAAGCUUGUGAAUUAGCAUUUGCCGAAUGUGAUGUUACAAAUGGAAUGCAAGCCCCGUGGUUGGUGGAGUGGUUGGUGGAGAUAGGUAUCUGCAAGGCUUAGCACUUCUUCAAGUGGAGUGUUAUUUAAUGUUGCAUUCCAUGGUCGUUUAUCUUAGUCGGAACUUGAAUUCGGUGUUAUUGAAACAGGGUUUUGUAGCUACCUUGUGUACUAGCUUCUUUAACCAUGAUUGUUAAUUAUUACAUGUUUUGUAGCUUCUUUUAUAUUUGGCUGAGUUAAUAUAGAUCAGAUGAGCUUUGAGGUA
Gossypium raimondii (Peruvian cotton) is the source of this 1534-nucleotide RNA transcript. It is a transcript of the gene named lysophospholipid acyltransferase LPEAT2, with no coding region annotated. The record is from RefSeq and is a predicted model, not a curated record. The transcript has 10 exons. NCBI's taxonomy places the organism in Eukaryota, Viridiplantae, Streptophyta, Magnoliopsida, Malvales, Malvaceae.